GUUCUGCGAAUUUUGUGUGCUGUUGUGGCUUAUGGUUGAGAACAUGCAUGUUGUUUGUUGUAUGCUUUGUCUGAAUUGAAUUUAUAGGUUCUAAUAAUUUUGGAUAUGCUAUAGAAACAGAGGAAACUCUGCCCAAUUUUUUUUUUGACGAUAUUAAUUUAUUAAUUGAAAAUGUAAUAUGAAUGAUUGAUUCUCUACAGAUGCAUUUGGGAAAGCAUGCACCCAAAUUCACGACAAUUAUAUAAAUUUUUUGACACCGAACAUCUUUCUAUUGGCAAUGAUGAAAGUAAAAACUAUACGGUGGAUCUUAUAGCCAAAUGGAUGAUGACUAUGGAUAGACAAGGCCAAAUAUAUUUCAUUCCUUGGAUUGUUGAUCGACAUUGGAUGUUGGUGCUCGUGAUGAUGCGGGGGAUGACCAUAAUUUUGGACCCUUUAAAAAAUCAUAAAUCUCCACCAAUAAUUACGGAGGUUAUGGAAAAAGCAUACGCACAAUGUUUGGAAAAUGAAUACAUCGUCACAUUUACAAAAUUGGUGAGAGGUUCUUGUCCAAAACAACCUGAAAGUCAUGAAUGUGGUUAUUAUGUACUAAGAUACAUUUAUGAUCUUGUAAAUGCACCGA
Humulus lupulus (European hop) is the source of this 619-nucleotide long non-coding RNA. RefSeq lists it as uncharacterized. NCBI's taxonomy places the organism in Eukaryota, Viridiplantae, Streptophyta, Magnoliopsida, Rosales, Cannabaceae. The record is from RefSeq and is a predicted model, not a curated record. The transcript has 3 exons.